UUUAGAUGAAAGAACUAAUAAAAUAUGGCGGUAAAUGUGCCUUGGAAGCGGUUAAGACGAUCGGAAUAUGUGUUGUAAUGGGGUGAUGCAAUCUGACAAAGAAUAGAAAAAUAUAGAAUUCUUUAAAAUAUUAA
Long non-coding RNA from Wasmannia auropunctata (little fire ant), 134 nucleotides. RefSeq lists it as uncharacterized. Lineage: Eukaryota; Metazoa; Arthropoda; Insecta; Hymenoptera; Formicidae. The transcript is spliced from 2 exons. The record is from RefSeq and is a predicted model, not a curated record.